This 253-nucleotide ribosomal RNA is filed under the name uncultured bacterium. RNAcentral's name for it is "partial 16S ribosomal RNA". It matches the Rfam family "Bacterial small subunit ribosomal RNA", at positions 524 to 776 of the family's 1533-position model. The record is from RNAcentral.
UACGUAGGGGGCUAGCGUUGUUCGGAAUUACUGGGCGUAAAGCGCACGUAGGCGGAUCGAUCAGUCAGGGGUGAAAUCCCAGGGCUCAACCCUGGAACUGCCUUUGAUACUGUCGAUCUGGAGUAUGGAAGAGGUGAGUGGAAUUCCGAGUGUAGAGGUGAAAUUCGUAGAUAUUCGGAGGAACACCAGUGGCGAAGGCGGCUCACUGGUCCAUGACUGACGCUGAGGUGCGAAAGCGUGGGGAGCAAACAGG